UUGCAAAAUGGCGUGCCGUGCUGAAGAUUGGCCCCAACGAGCCUUCUCAGCUGUCAAUCAACGAGAACGCCAAUGGGUUGGCCCGAUAUGCUAUCAUCUGCCAGGAGAAUGGCCUCGUUCCCAUUGUUGAGCCAGAGAUUCUGGUUGAUGGAUCCCAUGACAUUCAAAAGUGUGCUGAUGUGACCGAACGUGUUCUUGCAGCAUGCUACAAGGCCCUUAACGACCACCAUGUCCUGCUUGAAGGAACUCUAUUGAAGCCUAACAUGGUGACUCCAGGAUCUGAUGCAAAAAAGGUUCCACCCGAGAUGAUUGCUGAGUACACUGUCCGUGCCUUGCAGCGCACCAUGCCCGCAGCUGUCCCUGCUGUGGUGUUCCUCUCUGGUGGGCAGAGCGAGGAGGAGGCUACCAUCAACCUCAACGCUAUGAACAAGUUGAAGGCGAAUAAGCCAUGGUCUCUUUCCUUCUCCUUCGGACGUGCCCUUCAGCAAAGCACUCUCAAGGCUUGGUCAGGAAAGGAAGGGAACGUGAAGAAGGCGCAGGAGGCUUUCCUAACCAGGGCCAAGGCCAACUCGGAAGCGACAUUGGGAAACUACAAGGGUGAUGCCAAGCUCGGUGAAGGUGCCGCGGAGAGCCUUCACGUCAAGGACUACAAGUAUUGAUUGAUGAUCGUUCUGGAUUGCUUUAUUCUUUCAGUAGUCUAGGUCUUUUUUUUUGUUGAAACUUUAUUCGUAUAAUCUCGGUCGUGAUGAGAUUAUUACCGGAUACUAGUAGGUUUUGAUAAAAGCUUGAGGAACUAUGGCAAGCAUGGAAGAGUUUUGUUUGUUUCAUCAACUUGGUUUUGGUUUGGAGAAAUUUAAACCUCUUGUUUAUAUUCUGGUUGAUCGAGAAUGUACUUAUUUGAACUUUAGUUUUUGAUUGGGGUGUGCUAUCCACACAUCCCCUUUUACUUCUCACACACCCCUUAUUAAUUUAUGUCCGUUGAUCUUCUUCAAUUCAUCCGAUUCGACGGCCGAAAACUAAAAAGGUGUGAGAGAAGUAAAAAUGGGUGUGUGGAUAUCACACCCCUUUUGAUUUAGUUGCGUAAGCAAAAUCUUCGAUUGGGUUAGUAUUGUUUUAGGCCCAAUACUGUAUUGGGCUUUCACAAUUGUAACAUGUAAAUUGUUUUAGGCCCAAUAUAGUCAUAAGUUUUGGGGUUGAAUACACACACCUCCUAAGGUUUUCGUGUUUUCUCAAAGGGAUGUGAUAUCCACACACCCAUUUUUACUUCUCUCACACCCUUUUAAUUUUCGGCCGUCGGAUCGGAUGAAUUGAAGAAGAUCAAAGGACAUAAAUUAACAAGGGGUGUGGGAGAAGUAAAAAGAGAUGUGUGGAUAGCACACCCCUUCUCAAAAACCCCUCAGGUUUAAAACAUUACGCUAACAUUCUCUGAGAUUUUAGUUCACUUACACAAAACCCCUUCAAGGACAAAUUUACCCUUUUAAUUAAUUAUCCAAUUUUGAAUCUUGUAAUUGUUAUUAUGAUGUUGUAUGUGUAGGAUUUAGAGGUGAGCAAUAGCUAUUUUCUGAUGCUAUUUUGGCGAUUUGGGAGGCCAAUCGUCACAGGUUGCAGUGACUGGUAUCCUUUUUCUAGGCCUCUGUUUCCUCUUGUGCUCUUUGCGCAUCUUAUUUUAGUCCCCUCUGAGACAUCCGACAAAAUUAGAACGAUUAUUUUCAUUGAGAAAAAAGUUUUAAAAUAUGCUCUUUCUUUUUUCUUAUUUUCUUUUUUUAUAUCAAAUAUAAUAUUUGGAGGCAGAACAGAAAAUAAAUAAUGUAUUAGGAAUCAUGUCUGCAUCUAAGCUUUUACCUAUACUGGUAUGCUCACAUGUCAAUUUAGAUUAAAAACCACUUAUCACUUAUCAGCAGAGCGGCCAUAUGGGAUCAAAGAUCGGGAAUUAAUUAAUGGAAAAAUAUAAUAUAUGUGUGUGUGUGUGUGUAUAAAGAAGGAUCGAAGUGAAGAAUAUUCCAAGGCCUAAGCAGCAUCGGUCAUUUUGUUCUCCAAUAUCUGCGUCGGAUCCACGCAUUCCAUGUUCCUGGUUAAAAUAUUUCAACAACUUUUUUUUUGAAGUUUAAAUACUAAGAUAGGUCUAUUCAUACACAUUUUUUUUACUUUUACGUAUAUUUGUUAAUUUUUGUUUAUUGAUCUUCUUAAAUUAUUGAAUUUUACGGCCGAAAAUUAAAAAAGAUGUGUGAGAAGUAAAAAUGAAUGUGUAGAUAACAUUGUCUUAAUUAAAUAUUAUUCAACAAAUUAAAAUUACCCGACAUUGCAGGAACCUCUUCAAAGACCUACUUGGCCAUGGCCAGUUGGCUAAUUGGUUUCAGAAAACAAGAGAAUGAGAGAUGAAAAGAGAGGUAGGUGAAGCCUCCAUAACUUAGUGUUCAACAUCCUAACUACCACUUCUUUUUCUUCUUCUUUCACAAAAGUUUCCAACCUCGACCUGAAUUAUAAUUUGAAUAUCAACUUUUGAAAAAAAAAAAAAAGUAGACGUAAAUUAUAAUUUGAAUAUUUACUUUUGAAAAAAGGAAGUUGACAUUGACGUAGUUACAUUGGCUAAUUAGAGUUUAUGUACUCUCCUCAAUGUACUUAGUUGAAAUUCUCUCUCUACAAUUUAAGAUCAAUUUAAAUAAAACAUGAGUUGUAUUAGAAGUUAUACAAAAGAGUGAUGGCUAUCGAUGUACGACAUCAAAUUGCAAACAUAACACUACUGUGAAUCGUGAUAGAGUCUCACCUUGCACUUAGUAAAUCAACUAAUAAGUACGUAGAAGUUGAAAGGGAGAAUAUUAGAACUUGGAUUUUUUAUUUGUGUAAAAUGGAUACCACGUUGUACAACUCCAAAAGCAUGUCGAACGCUCGAAGUAACCAAGAAUAACUGCGCUUAUGUCAAAAUAAAUGGAAGAAGAGUCAACUGAAUUUUGUUCAUAGGUCUCAUAAGGAGGCGAAGUGUAAACCUAAUGAGACAUUUCGUCAUACCAUAUUCUUUUGCAUGCUUUUAUUUUUAAAUAAUUUGGCACUUUUAAAUACAAAAGAGAAGAUGGGCGUGACAUAAAAGUAAGAAAAUUGUGGCGCAUGAUCCAAAUGAUGCAAUUGAUUUUGGUUAAUAUAUAAAUGCGUUGAAAAUUGAAAGUUUGUUCGAUGAGGCAUAUAUAAUAACAACUCUUGUUUUGACUUAUAAGUAGCAACGAGAAAUGCGGUGGGUGAGGUGACAAGGAACCAACACGAAGCAUAUACGAUUUGACUGUGCAAAUCACACACACGAGGCAUAUACGAUUUGACCGUGCAAAUCACACACACACACAAUUAGUGACGGAGCCAGAAUUUUACAACAAAGGGAUCAUGAUUUCGACCACAAAAAGAAUUCAUGGCACCAUUCUGUCGAGCAUCAAUUGGGCACCUAUCAAAAUCUACCAACAUUCACUGAAAGCUUGUGAUGACAUCUAACAGUAGCCGUUGCGUUCUUCUAGCAUUUGUAUCUGUCAAGGUGUGCCUAACCUAGCAAACUGUCAAGACCUACCUGCCAAGACUUUUUGAGUGAAGCAUUAGGUCGAGCAUGUGGUGCACACCAUUAAGUUGCAUAGAAGAAAAAAGAGAAGGAAGACACGAGGAAAGAAAAUUGGAGAAAGAAGAAGCACAAUCGGUUGUAAUUUAACAUUGUUCAUUCUCUCCUUAAGUAGGGUCUAAAGAUAAAUCUAUCAAUAAGUAUAUAAAGGUUUAGGAAGCUGUUGGGGUCAUGAGCAGCUAUUGACCCCAAAGUGACUCCGCUACUUCACACAAUAAUGUAGAUGCUGCAUUAGAAUAAUUUUACACUAAAAAAAAAAAAAUUCAAUGUCACUUAACACCAUUGAAUUAUGUAUCUAAUUAUUCAAAUGAAGCAUGAGGCCUGAAAUGGACCGGGUGAGAGAGUCAAUAUUAGGCCACUAAAGCAAAAUGUUUAGUGCCGUACUAAAAUAAUGAAUGCUAUUAUAUGAUGUAAUCAGUUUAUGUGUUACAGCAUGAAUGAACGAUUAGUUGAAUUUAAUUUAGAAUGCAUUAUGAAUUAAAAAAAAACACGCUUUAAAAUUUGACUAUAGUUUAUAGUUAGUGACCUUACAGUAUUCUAAAAUCAGUGUAACGUGUGUUUCUCUUCUUAAAUUGGAACCCCUAAAUUCUCUUUGUGUAGUGUAGGUACAAUCGAUCAUAUAAAGGAUAGGAGAGACAUUGAAGGGGUAUUCCAGAGCGUUUGAUGGGUUGUUUAUUGUUACAAAAACAAAGAAAUUUCUUUGGAAAUAACAUUCACGUUGUAAGUUUAUGUAUCCUAAAAGUCAAAACUGCCAACACUAGAGAAGCUAGCUACACACAAUGCCAUUCAUUCAAGGGGUAGUUUUGGCCGCUUUUUCUUUGUAUACUUCAACAAUCAAUUUGUGCAAAAACAAAUUAAAUUUGAUUUGGCAUAAUAAAAAAAGAAGACAUGGAUCUCAAAUAUAGGAGAGAUAAAUACAAUUUGUCUUGAAAUAUAGGCUCUUAAGGGGAUGUGGAGUCACUUAGUACUACGGUUUCGUGGUGUUCAUUUUUAUUUGUAAGUGAGAAAUCUUAGGUUCGAUUCUUAUUAAAGACGAAUUUAAACCACAUUAUUGCUAAUCCAUUGUGAGGCUUAAUCCACUCUCACUCUCUUCGCAUAGAUAAUGUCAUAUGUUAAAAAAAAAAAUAUAUAUGAUGUGACUAUAAUAUCCUGUAACUUUAAAUACAUCAAAAUAAAAAUGAAGUAGAUGAAGGCAGUAAAAAUAUACCAUAUGUUUCUUUAAAUCUCACCCGUUUAUUUCACGUUGUAGAUUUUUCGCCAGAUAUGAAUAUAGGCUGAAAAAAAGAAGAAGACAAGCAUUGUCUUAAAGGCCGGAACCAAGAAUGCCGGUGUUGGUUUUGGGUAUCACAAGUUCACAAAACCAAACCAAAACCAGAGUCGCCGUCAAACCCCACAGGAUUUGGUUGGCUGGUUUUUACCUUUUGACCACCUUCCAACCUACUUAACCUAAUCACGGGACGGCGGCUGGUUUCGUGAAGACCUACCACCGUGCCUAAUUACUUUUUUACCCUCCAAUUAAUUUGGGCUCUAAUUCUUUUUUGGUAAUUAAUUUAGGCUCCAACUUAAAGAAAAUAUAAAUGUGUGUGUAGAAGGUAAAAAUUGUGUGUGGUUACUGGUUAAGGCCUUUGAAAGGCAUGUGCAUAUUUUAACUGUCCCACAUGAAUUUUCUCCUAAUUAGACUAAUUAAUGAAAAUUAAUGUUUAUUAUUUGUUUUGAGAAAAAUAAGGAGUUCUACCCUAAUAUUGUAAAUCUAAGGCAAUGUACCUGAAUUAUUAAUAAUACACAAAAAAGAAAUUGAUAUAUCAAGACUCUAAAGAGUAACGCUAUUGCAAAAUUGUGUUGCAAUAAAAUUAGGUCUAGCAAUAACAACAAGUCUUAUAAGCAAUUGCAAAAUCUACGUGAUAAUUUAUGUUCUUAAUCAUUUAAAGAUAGUGGGAUAUUAAAUCCUAACUAUUUCUAAAUUUCAUUGGAGAUAAUAAAUUAAUGGAGAAAACUUUAUUUAUUUUCAUUUGAACUUUUUUGAAAAAUAAUUAUUUCUUUUUGAAUUGCUAGAGAAUCCAAUCCACCAUAAUGAAUUCGUAUAUUUAUAUAAAAUAGGAAAUAAAUCUAGGUCCAAUUAAUGUCUGGAGGGCAAAAUGGUAAACACAAAAAGAGAAAAUUAAUAAUAAUUUAUUUACGUGGGAAAGAAGCCAAGCAAGUAGAGCAACUUUCGAGCCGGAUUCACAUAAAAAGCCUCACCCACCCUUCACUUUCUUCCAUCUUUCUCUUUAUCUCUCAGAAAGCAACCAACUCGUCUUCUUCUUCCUCUCAAGUCUUCAGAUCAAACAUGUCUGCUUACAGAGGCAAAUACGCUGGUAAUUUACUCAUCCCCUUCACUUUUUUACUCGUUCAUAUCGAUCUGUUUUUGCAUAUCUAUAUAUUUGUCUUGAUUAAUUUCUUAGAUCUGAUUGUUCUUGUGCGUUUUCAAGAUUUGAUGCGUGAACCCAUGUUUUUUUAAGUGUGUUGUGGUUGUUGAGUGAUUGAAUCUUACUUCUGUGGUCAAGAUCCGACGACCAGAUUUGGGUUUCUUCGAUACUGUAUAGAUUUCUUGCAGUAUUCUGGUUUUGGGUUCUCAGAAAAUCAAUCGUUUUUGCUCCUGAAACUAUUUUUUAGUAUAUUUGAUUACUGAAGUUUAGAUCUAAUCUGACAUACCUAGUUAAUAUGCCUUCUGGGUUUUACUUUGUGAAGGUGGAAUAACUGUUGACUUGGAUUUUACUUCAAGGUUAAACUCAAUUUUAUGGAUUUAGAGUUCUCAAAUUUUCAAGUGUGUUUAUUGGGUUUAUGAUUUUUUCAGUCAACUAUUGGUAUGGGAUUCGAUUGACAAUGACAAAGUUGUUUGGUACCAAAUCUAGAUCUUUUGAUCUAAAUUGAAACCCUACAUUUUUAUGUUUGUGAUGAUCUACUUAUUCGUAGUACUUAACCCUUGUGAGUUCCUCCUUUUAUUUGUUUAUUUGUUGUUUUGACCUGAAGUUGUAAUAGUUUUGGAAGCAAUUAACAUGUAGUAAUUGGUUUUUUGAUAUUGUCUUCGGUUGCAUUACCUUGUUGACUAUGAGGGGAAUUUGGACUUGUCCUAACUUUAUUGUUCUGUAUUUUCUCGUUUUUGGUUAUUUAAAGUAGAUGUUUUGAUGUGGGUAUUUAUAUUUUGUGAUUUCUGGUCUAUGUUGGCUGAAUUUUGUAUGCCUUGCAGAUGAGCUUAUCGCCAAUGCUGCCUACAUUGGCACCCCUGGAAAGGGUAUUCUCGCUGCUGAUGAGUCAACUGGCACAAUCGGCAAACGUUUUGCCAGCAUCAAUGUUGAGAAUGUUGAAUCAAACAGGCGUGCUCUUCGUGAGCUCCUCUUCACUGCCCCUGAUGUGCUCCAAUACCUUAGUGGAGUGAUCCUCUUUGAGGAAACCCUCUACCAGAAGACUGCUUCAGGUAUUUUUAUUGAAGGUUCUAGGUUUUGAUACUUUGGCAUUCCACGAUUAUUAGUUCUGUUGUAUUUGGAAUCAAUAUAUUAGGUGCAGUGGUUAUUUUAUUUGAUCAAUAAAUCUGUAGAAUUCGUAUGUUUUUGUAACGUUUUUUGUUUCUUCAAGAGAAGUUUGGGUAAAGCUUUAAAGAGUACUUGUUCUUUUAGUAAUCCUGUUUUGACAAUCCUCUGGUUGCAUGAAUUGUUACCCUUUUCCAAUUUGUGCUCGCUUUGGAUUGUUGUUUUCGCAAAUAAUUUACUCAAAUUUUCCAUGGGAUGGUACUCGUUGUAUUGUAUUCUGCAGGCAAGCCAUUCGUUGACGUCUUGAAGGAAGGUGGUGUUCUCCCUGGUAUUAAGGUCGACAAGGGUACCGUUGAGCUCGCCGGAACCAAUGGUGAGACCACAACCCAGGGUCUUGAUGGCCUUGCCCAGCGCUGCCAGAAGUACUAUGAAGCUGGUGCACGGUUUGCAAAAUGGCGUGGUGCUCAAGAUUGGCCCCAAUGAGCCAUCUCAGCUGUCCAUUCAAGAGAACGCUAAUGGGUUGGCUCGUUAUGCUAUCAUCUGCCAGGAGAAUGGUCUAGUCCCAAUCGUUGAGCCAGAGAUCCUGGUUGAUGGACCCCAUUCCAUCGAUAAGUGUGCUGAUGUGACAGAGCGUGUUCUUGCUGCGUGCUACAAGGCUCUUAAUGACCACCAUGUCCUCCUCGAAGGAACUCUGUUGAAGCCCAACAUGGUCACUCCAGGAUCUGAUGCCAAGAAGGCUUCACCAGAAGUGAUUGCCGAGUAUACAGUUCGUGCCUUGUUGCGCACUACCCCUGCAGCUGUCCCUGCUGUUGUGUUCUUGUCCGGUGGACAGAGUGAGGAGGAGGCUACCCUCAACCUUAACGCCAUGAACCAACUCAAGGGAAAGAAGCCAUGGUCUCUAUCCUUCUCCUUCGGACGUGCUCUUCAGCAAAGCACACUGAAGGCAUGGGCAGGGAAAGAGGAAAACAUCCCAAAGGCACAGGCUGCUCUCCUCACAAGGGCCAAGGCCAACUCUGAGGCUACUCUUGGAACCUACAAGGGUGAUGCCAAGCUCGGUGAGGGUGCCGCUGAGUCUCUCCAUGUGAAGGAUUACAAGUACUGAAAAAAUUUACAGUUCUUGCUUCUCUUGUUUUGGUUUUGGAAAACUAUCUUGCGGUAUGUGUAUGGCUUUUGUCAUUCUCGGGCGUAUAGUGUUAGGGUUUUUUUCGGAUUUCUGUUCUUGAUCUCUCUGAUUUUAGGACGGUGGUAGAAUAAAAGGCUUGAGGACCAUUGGCAUAUGUUGAGUUUGAAAAAUGUUUCCUUUUCUUGUUCAAAAGAACUAUGUAGGUUCUUUUUUAUUGCCUGAAUUGAAGGUAAGCAUUCUAAUUUCCAAAAUCCAGUUUUUGUGUAUUUGAUUCUGCUCUUAAUUACCCUUAUUUCUUGAAUGGUUAUAUGCGUGUUCGUUGUCUUGUCUUUUAUAUUUAAGCUUUUGACAUUCCCUAAAGUUUUAUUUUGAAUUUUUAUGUUUUUGAGCAAAUUUUGAUUGAAAGCAACUCAUAUCUAUAUAUCAUCCAUCAACCUUUCUCAUAUCCAUACAUCAUCCAUCAAUGUUUCCUCUUAUUUACACGACAUUUUCAUCGAUAUUGGUAUUUUAAACACAGGUUAUAAGCUUAGUAAACUUAUCAAUCCAGUUCUAAGCACCAAACGUUGUGUAAGUCGGAGUGCAAUUGUAUUUCAAUUCCUUUGUUUUAGGAACUUUGAGCUCUUCAAAUUUUAGAUGGAUUGAGUGAAAUUCGAGUUGAGGUUUAGAUCGUCGUAAGCUUCGGGUUUACCUUGUAUUCACAUCCAAACACAAGACUAAUCUGCAUAAACCACCAUUUAGCUUUGAAGACAACUGAACAAGUCAGAAGACCCAUAAUUCAAGACUAAAUUCGAUAAAUCUCCCCAAAAAAAAAAAUUCCAUUGGAGACUCAUCCGAUUCUUCCAAAGAGCGAAGAAGAUUGAUGAACGAAUCAAAGGAACAAAAACAAUUUCCACAUUCCUGUUUUCUCCUGCUACACUUUUUCUCUGAUAUGUCCCUUGAUUCUCUCUAAUUAUUAAAUCCAAUGGCCCCCGUUUAAGAUAAUAAGAUAAGAAUAGUAUAGAAAGAGAAAACAAGAGUGCGAAAAUAAUUUCCAGCACAAUAUGCCACAUGCUGGGAUAGGAUGAGAUUCACUAACAAACAAUCCCUUAUACUACAUCUUUAUGGACCAAUAACGCUCAUUCUUUCUAUGUACCUAAUUGAAUUGGGUUUUUGGGCCAAUUGGGCUAAACCCUUGACUUUGCAGGGCUUAAAUAAAGAUUAAGGGCCUCUAUUUCUAUAGUUAUAAUUUAUAUUUUACAUGUGUAGGUUAAAAUUAAUUUUCCAUGGUAAGUAUCAGUAAGGUCUGAAGAUGGUUAAAAAAGCAGAGGAAGCAUGGCCAGCUUUCCCAAUUUCGGGUUCCAUCUCCUUUUGGGAGAUGGAUUGUCUCCCUCCCCUUCUCAUACUCUCCUCAUGCUCUCCUGUUUUGUGCGGUCACGAUUAAGCCAAGUCAACAUUUUAUAUUAAUUUUUUUAUAAAAAUAAUAAGACAAAAAAUAAAUGUUGAUGUAGUUUAACCAUGAUCGCACAAAACAGGAGGGUAUGAGUAGGGGAGGGCAGACAAUCCAUCUCCUUUUGGGUAAGCCAUAAACUGCAAAAGCAGAGCAGUAACAGUUCAUUUUUUCCCCCUUCUUUUCUUUUGGUGUUUUAUUUAUAUCAGCUCAGUAAGUGGUCACAUCAGCAAAAGCAUGAAGCAAGCAAAGCAAAAGCAUCCCCCCACCCCAAACAAAAGGUUUUUUGCUCAAACUUGAAAGUUCUAAAAUUGUCAUGCAUGUAAUCUCCUGGUUUGACUGCGGAUGACUCAACUACUCAACUGUCUCAAGCAGCUGGAAGCAGAAGCAGGAAGCAGAAGCAGAAGCUGUUUGGCCUUGGGACAAGCAAACUAAAGCAAGUUUGGGGAAGGAGAUUCAUCAGAAUAGUAACAAAAGAGAGGGAAAAUAAAUGGGCGUACUUGAAAGAAACUGUGACAAUGACUUACAAUGUUUGGUUCCCUUGGUGGGAAGCUUCUUUACUCUUUCCUAUGUACGGUCAUUAGUCUCUGUCCAGGAGUGUUUACUGUUUGUGUUGUGUUUAUGAGUGUUAUAUGAGUAUGAUGACUUAACCUUAUCUGUGUUUGGAUCACAAUGUUACCUUCUCCACUAGCUACAUGUGAAAAUAGUUUUCCCACGGCCUUGAAAAUUCUACAAUAAACUGGUGUGUGUAAUGCAUUACUUCAAUUGAUAGCUAGAUUUACGUACUUUAUCUAAAUACUUUAGUUCAGCAAAACCUAAAAACAUAAACCCUUCAUCAAGCUAAUGCAUCACAUACACCGGUGUACAACAAAGAAUCCCCCAUUAUGCAAGAAUAAGCUUCAAUUUGAUUGCCACCCUCUUUCCCUAAAAAAAUUCAACAAAAAGAAAUGGAGGAAAAAAAUAAAUUCAACAGUCCCAUUCUAUCAUUCUUUUGAAUGCAUUUGAGUUUUCAUUAGGUUAUAUUUUUAUACGAGUGAUAUUAGGAUAUGAAGAAUCAAACAUAAGAUCCGGAUGUGAGAGUAAAUACUUUUAACCCUAUGAGUUACGAGCCUAGAAGUGGAAGGAGCAAGGAGAAAAAAAAAUUGAUUAUUAAAUUCGAGUGAGAUACAACCACUCAUUGAUGUGCUUAGGGAUAAUUUGGAAGAAAAUGCCAAUUAUAGUACUACUCUUCACUUUGUUGGAGGAGGUUUUCGAGUUUCAAAGCUUAUGUACGACUACUGCUAAUAAAUUAAACGAUAAAUCAUUUACGCUAAAAUUAUUUUUGGAAUUUUAAUAACAAUUACCUUUCAAAUUUAUAUUUAAUAACGUGCAUGAAAAGAAAAAGUUUAUAUAUUUCUGUAUAUGAAAGAUUAUAAUUCUCUAGACUCCCGACAGUCUUGUAUAUAUUUUACUGCAGAAUGAUGUAGAUAUUUGCUACACUAAUUAAUAUCUCUCAGUGAUGUAUUAUAUAUAUAUAUAUAUAUCACUCAGCUGUAAUUUAAUGGAAAUCACUACUGGAGUGCUUUAAUUGCAGAUAAUGACAUGUUCCUGGAGAUACAAUUCGUACGUUUUCUUUGCUAAGCAGCUGCACAUGCCAUGCCUGCUUCCAAAUAUUGGCAGUUUUCUGUAGCUAGUACGUACCAUCUAGCCAUGCUAUAUAUGCUGAUGUUGAUCUGAUCCGAUCUGAUCGAGAAGGCAACUUCCAAUGGAGUAAGGGAAUUUGCUUUAUUUUUUUGGCUAUAUUGUAAAGAAUCGAACUUCAAUCUAUCCUAACCCUAACCCGUUAUCGCAACCCUCCCUCGCCGCUAUCUGGCUAAAUCACUUUUACUAUCAAAUUGAAAUUCAACUGGUAGUAUCUCACAUUUCCAUUUUUUGAACCAAAAUUUCUCGUGUCGUUAAAAAAAGUUGUUAUUUGCUUCAUUACAUCGGACACUAAUACAAACACUACAAGGAAAAUAGCCUACAACAGCAUAACAUUUACAACAUGUUUAAUUGCGUGUUAAAACAUCUAAAAAACUAUUUUUUGUAAAACCCACUAUAUUUUUCUGUGAGUUACUUGAUCAAUGUGUGUAAAACAAGUUCAACCACAAGAUUAGUUAAAUGUACAUUUGGGAAAAGUUAUAGAAUUAUGAAUACUUCUCUUCAGCGAUCUAAAGUUCUAAACCCUUCAUUUGUGUAAUUAUAACUACCUACUUUGAAUGAUCAAGAUUUGUGAGCUAAAAACUAAGUUAUUAAGCGAUUUUAUACUAAAUUGAUCUUAACUAGUAUGCAUAUGCUUGAAAUCCAUGUCAUGAGUGUUCAUAAGAUAAGAAACAUUUACUCAUGCAUGUAACAUGAAAGAAAUGGAGGUUAAAACAAAUGAAAACCCACAAAAAAAUAGACCAUUUUCAUGAUACAGGAAUUAAACUUUUCCAUAAAGGAUAAAACCUUAAAAUAUUGGCUAGGAUGAAACCGCAACGCUAGCAGCACCGCAACCUGUCCAAAUCUAUAAUUAUUUCCCUCUAAAAAUUCCAUGUCUUUAGACUUUAGUUCCAUGAUUAAAACAUCAAUCAAACCCUACACAUAAAUAUCCCCCAGUUAGCUCCUUGAUUACACGAUCAUACAGUAAGCCCCACCUCACAUGAGAGAGAGAGAGAGAGAGAGAGAGAGAGAGAGAGAGAGAGAGAGAGAGAGAGAGAGAGAGAGGUUUUUUCUCAAAUUUGUUAAACCCCAUAACAAAAGUCAAACCUCUCCUUUCAAAGUUCAAACCCUCCUGCUAGAUUAGAGCAACUGAGCAAGUUGUCUUCUGCAGCUAGCAGAUGAUCACCUAGUACAAAGUAAUAAUAUUACACCUCAUAUAAUAUUGUCAUCACUGGUUUUGGCUUUCCGUGCUGAGCUUCAAUCCAUAAUUUUCCCACAAGUUCUCCCCCUCACUCAUCAAGAAGGGAAAACAAUUAUCAGGCACUGCAUUGCUCCCCACAUUAUUUGCAUUAUUCCCACAAUUAGGAGAAUUGUUAGAACCAUCAUGAUUACCUUGUUCAUUACUCAUUUCACCACAAUACCCUCCCUUACUACUAUAUAAUGAGGAACAAGACUCAUUGCUCUGAAAGUAACAAGCUGCCGAUGCACUUCUUGAAUUUGCAUUCUCCUUUCGCUUCUUAUUCAAUAACUCCUUGGUACUCCUACUCAUGUUAUGAACUAUUUGAUCACGAUCAUGAUGAUCAGGUGAUGACGAAUUGUAAUUAGUAGCUUUUGCUUGAUCAGUUGAUGAUGAUCCUCCCGAUAUCUUGUGCAAUGUAUCCAUCAAAGCUUUAUCCCUAGCUUCAAUCCAUGCCCUCUCUUUGGCCCAAAACUUGUGCUCUCUCUCAACCCUAUCAACUUCUUGUUUCCUCCACUCCUCCUCUCUCACCACCCUCUCCCUCUCCUUUUGCUCAAGGGUUCUCAUUAGCCUCUCCAACCACUCCUCUUGCUUCUCCAUUAGCUUCCUCAUUUGCACAUCGAUAAACUCUUUUAUCUUCGCCUUCCAACCCCUCCCCCCGCCACCCCCUCUUCUCUUCCUCGUUGUCUUCACCUCCUGCAGAUCAUCGUCCAUUGCGGCUGCACUGACAUCAUUAUUAAUGUCUUGAUCUUCUGAGGAGGAGGUUUCAAACUCGGAUGAAUUCGAGAGGCUAAGGCUGUCACAGUGCUUUUGAUCAGAUGAUUGAUGAUGAUAGGGAGUAGUGAUCUCUUGAUUUGCUUGAGCAUUGCCGGCUGCUUGGCAACGAUAAUUGCUACUAUUAUUACCGACGAAAUGGGUUUCUGCAGGUAAAGAUGGUGAGACUACGGCGUUGGUGGUUUCUCCAUAGAGAGCUUCGAGCUGUCGAAAGAACCGAUAAUGCUUGCCAUCUUGUCUUCCAGCCUUUCCUUCCUUUGUUUUCUUGUAGUACUUGUACAAAUUUUCAAACUUCUCUCUACAUUUUUUCCCACUUCUUUGAUACCCAUGUUCCUCAAACAUGAUCCUGCCACAAAUUUAAUUAAUGCAUGGUAGGCAAAUGCAGAAAAUAAGUUUGGAUUUUAACAAGGAAAAAAAGCCCAAAAAGAGAUUUAACACUUUUUAAUAGUAAAAAUCCAUAUCCUAGUAGUGUGUCAUGUAAUUAAGCAAGAUAUCAAAGUGAUUGAUUGUGUGAAGAAGAUAAUAGUAGAGAAACCCUAAAUUGAAUUCUAAAAUAGACUAAGCUAAUAACCAUUAAACGUUGUGUCCAUGUGAAAUAGUGAUGAUCACUCCUUUGCUAAUGAUGAUGUUACGCUAUCCCAAUUUAGCAUAUGACCAUUCAAAAAAAUUCUAAUGAAAGAUAAUGUGUAGUCUUUAGAAGGAGGAGGAUGAGGAGAGGUAGGGGGAGGGGGGCGCAAUUACAUUUCUUGUAGAUCAUGUCUUUCCAAUAUCAGACAAAAACCAGUCGAUUGACAGUACUCAAGCAUGGAAUAGGACAAGUAUUAACUAUUUUGCAGAAAUAAGUAUAAAAACUUGUGCUUGAAAGGUCACAUUUGCAAUACAGAAAUCGUAUAGAAAAAGGGUUCCCAAAUUGAUUUAGGGCCAGUUUGGACAACACGAAAGUCAUCAUCAAAUCUUAAAAUGAAUGAAGAAAAAAAAAAUAGCACCUCAGUUCGAAGCUGAUGAACUGAAAUUGCUUGUUCAGUCAUUUUCCAACUCAAAACAUAGAAAAACUAUCCAUAAAUUGCUUCAAUUAUUUUUAAUUAAUAAAAAGAAACACAAUAGAAGUACCCAAAAUAAGAUUUUGCUUAAACAUCCAUGCCAAAUUACUACCAUGCACCAAUUAAUUAAGAGAGAUCACAUAAUAAUGAAGACCAAAACAAGUUUAACAAACCAAGAAUGAACAAAAAUAAAUAAAAAUAAAAAAAAUAAAAAAGAGAGCAGAUAAUUAGGGUAUGUGCUAUGAAUGGUUAUAUACUUGUACAAGUGUAUAUGUAUGUAUUUACAUACCUAGAGACUUCAUCCCAGAGAGGACCCUUCUGAUUAGCCUCUUUGAACUUAAAAUCAAGCCGUGAUCGGAUCUCCAGAAGAGUGAGAGUCUCUUGCCUCGGCCACCUUCCAGACCCUUCGCCUCCAAGACACCCGCCAGCUUCAGUCUCCAAGCCACCGCCACUAAGGGAAGGAGCUGCUGUAACAGUAGUAGGAGUAGUGACACCUCCGGCAGCACUAGUAGAGUCCGGAGAGCGAAACUCAUGAUGAUGGUGAAGCCCACGAGGGAUCAUCUCGUGGGCUUGAGAACGGCCCAUCAUCAUGAGCUGCUCGUACGGAUGGUGUUGAUGAUGAAGAGUUGGAGGAGGUCCUCGGUGGUGGUUCGGGAAGAGCUCAGUGGGGGGUUGUAGUGGGAUGGAGGGGAAGUGAGUCCGACCUCCGUUCAUGAGUUGCCGGAGAUCGGACAUGUUGUACUGAUCCUCCAUUUCCAUGGAGAACAAAGAAGAAGAACAAGAAACAAAUGUUCACUUAAAAGAGAAAUAUUGAGAGAAAAAUGAAGCACAAAAAGAAGAGUGGGAGAGGAAGAGGAGGAGAGAGAGAGAGCGGCAGAAUCGGAUCGUGUCGUUCACGAAAAAGCUGGAAUUUAAGCACAGGACAAUGGUCCCAUGUCUGAGAGUGUGUGUGUGUGUUUAUGCAUCCUUGUAUACGACUAGUGACUCAUUUUGUCCAGAGCGUGAAAUUUGUAGUGUUUGGACACGAGGAUAAGCAAAGAAUGCAACUUGGAGGAUUAUGGAUGCAGAUAGAUUCUAUCCGAUGUUUUUGAAAACCCGUCACAUGAUAUUUAUUCUACUUAAAAUAUAAGCUUAUUUUUAUCUACGCUUUCUGUAACUCAAUUUCAAUCUCAAUUUGUUCUUUGAAACUUAAAAGUCGUCAUUUUGCUCCUUAAAACUUGAUUUUGAUCUCACUUUACCUCUUGAGACUUGAUUUUGAUCUCACUUUACCUCUUGAAACUCAAAAGCCGUUAUUUACUCCCUGAAAUUCGAUUUCAAUCUCACUUUACCUCUUGAAACUCAAAAGUCGCAAUUUUAUUAAUAUUCGCCACUUUCAAUAUUACUCCCCUUUAGUUUGCUCAUAUGUAUUCCGUAAAAUUUAACCAUUAUGUUUACUUAUGUGGCAUAAUUAAGGUCCACUUAUAGCUGACGUGACACAAGUAUAUAGCUUGCAUAUCCAAUUAAAUGGUGUCAUAAGGAUUGAAACCAAAAAAAUAAAAAUAAAAACAAAACAAAACAGAAAAUUUAAUUUUCAAACAUUGUAUAACAUAUUAAAAAAAGGAAAAGUAUUAAAAAUAGCAAAAUCAAUUCUUAGGUUUCAUCUCUCCGGCCCCUUUCUCUAAUUGUUGUCCAUACAUUCAUCUUUUCUCCCUCUAUCUCCAGCCACCUUAUCAUGAGUUCCAAUUAUUUUGUUAUUCCUUAUGUUCUUAAUGGAGGUGGUUGGUGAAGAGAGAAGAGAGUUUUUAUUCUAAAAAAUAGAAACAAGGCAAUGUAAAACAAAUUGUGAGUUUCAAGGAGUAAAGUUACAAUUUUUGAGUUUCAGGGGUAAAGUGAGAUUGAAAUCGAGUUCCAAUGAGUAAAGUGACGACUUUUGACUUUCAAAAGGUAAAAUGAGAUCAAAAUCGAGUUCCAGAAAAUAGAAUGACAACUUUUGAGUUUCAGGGAGUAAGAUGAGAUUGAAAUUGAGUUCUAAAGAACAUAGCUAAAAAUGAGCCUAAACUAUAACAUGUUUAUUUUGUCUUUUACAAAUGUACUUAAAAGUGGAACGUAUUAACAUUAUCGUUUACGAAUAUACUUAACACGUGUAAUGUACAAUGCUGGCAUAAAUUUUCUCCUGUAUGCAAGUGCAGAGUUGUAUUUGAGACGGCGAAUAGGUAGCGAACACGUGGAGAUGGAGUGGAGGACAGUAUGGUUGUGACAUGCUGACGCGUGUACAGUUCAUGGGAUCGGGUCCUUUUGACCAAUGACUUUGUGGCAAAGUUUUUUUUUGGGGCGUGCUGCGUGCCGUUUGCAUAAAUGGGAAAAAUACGAUUUGUCAUUUGGUGGAAAGAGGGGAAAGCAAUUGGGUUUAGGAUAUGGGGGAGAUCGUUUUGGGAGAGCGUCCUUUAAGGAUUUAAGUAAAAGGGUGAGAGAAAAAGAGAGAGAGUCGAGGAUAGAAAGAAAGGGGUGAUGCCGUGUACAGUGGGGCAGGCAGUGAAAACUGCAUGCAGUUUCAGAAGAUGCAGCUGCAACAAGAGAAGGACCGGUGUGAGUCCACUUAUAUAUCAUGUAUGUCUCUUUUUCUAUUUUCAUGGUGUGCCUCUUUUACUUCACUGAAGGAGUCUCUCUGCUUUCGUGCCUCAUCCAUACUCUUCUACUAGGGGUAGCAUGUAUAAUAGGUAUCAUGCUCAUUGAGUAGCUCUAUCAUAAGCUAAUAAAGCCCCCAUUAACUCCAAAACCAUACCAAUUGGAUGGCAUUUUGAAGUUGUACUGGUUCCAUAGUUGUUGAGACGAGUAUUUUGAAUACUUGACCAUACACAUCCAUAACACCAGCACAGAGGAAAUAUGUCCUCUAAUAUAGACAACAUUCCAGUGUACCACUAUCCAAUGAGUAUGUGUUGUCUAUCUAAAAUUGGAAUGUUUUUUAGCCAAAAUGGUUCUUGAGAUGAACAUAACUCCCCAUUUUGAUCACUGAAAUUUAAAAUCAAUAGAACUGGCCCAUGAAUUUGCGUACCAUCAAUCAUUUGAUCUUUGCGUGAAAAAUCUCUUUUAAAUAAGAAAAAAAAUGAAAGAAAAAAAAAACCCUUAAUUUUGUCAAUUCAUUUUGGCCCGUUGUUUAUUAAAUUGAGGGUAUUUUUGUCAUUUUGGUAUUUAUUUAGUACAUUUUUUUCACGGAAUGACCAAAAUGACUGAGGGUGGACAAACUUAGGGACCACUUCUAUUGAUUUCAAAACUCAUGGACCAAAAUGAGGAGUUAUGUCAAUCUCAGAAACUAUUUUGACUAAAAUGUCAAAUAGAAACAAGAGUUAAAAACGUAAAUGACGGGCUUCGAACCUAAGCCACACAACGAGCAGUCUAAUUUGGUAUCAAAUUUUUACAUCGAUAAAUAUAUAUAUAUAUAUAUAUAUUUUAGUACAUCGAUAUUUUUACACUACGGGGAACGGGGGUUCGACUAAGCCACACAAUGGGUAGCCUAAUUUGGUAUCGAAUUUUCCAUCCAUGAGAUUUGAACCUAAGACCUCUCACUUCCAAAUGAAGAGGAAUACCACCAAACCGUAGUAAUGAGUGGCUAAACACUACGUUCCUUAAGGGUGUGUUUGGUACGCAGACGGGACGGAACGGGACGGGACGGGACGGGACGGAAUGGAACGGGACGGGACAGAACGGAACGGGACGGGACGGAACGGAACGGGACGGGACGGAACGGAACGGGACGGGAUGGAACGAAGGUGUAAUUUUUGAAAAAGACAUGGGGUAUAUUUGUCUUAAAAUGGUAAAACAUUGUGUUCCACAGACGUGGAACAAACCCGUUCCAGGGGGUGAAGGUGGGACGCAAAAACACCCAAAAUCUGUCCCGUGGAACAGCCCGUUCCACCCAUUUUUGGCGCACCAAACGCGGGACAGAAUGCCUCGUCGCGUUCCGUCCCGUCCCGUCCCACGUACCAAACGCACCCUAAAAGACGUAUAAUUUGGAUUACAAGACUGAUUAAGUUUGUCUACAAGCACAUCACAAAGUUAAUCGUGAUAAACAUGAGCAAGAGACAUGUAUGUGUUAGGCACUAGGCACAACCUAUUUAACAUUGUUAAAGUAAAAUAUCCUUUCGUAAUGGUCAAAGUCAAUCACCCAUUAGCUAAAACUAAUCACACUUUAGAACCUUUGCUCAUGUUUUCAAUUUUCAACUUGCCUAUAAAAGCAUUUAAAUUUUAUAUUUGGAACCAUAAUUUUCACACUAAAAAUGCAUUAAGACCAAAUUACUGUAUAAUCCCUAGCCUAUUUCCAAAUCAUGAUUAAUACUUUUGCUCAUGUUUUUAAUUUUCAACUUGACUAUAAAAGCAUUUAAAUAUUAUGUUUGGAACAAUAAUUUUCACACUAAAAAUGCAUUAAGACCGAAUCAUAAUUAUAUAACCCCUAUGUCCUAAUGAUCAUGAUUAAUAUUUUACCUUGGAAAGUACUUUAAAUCCAAUGUAAGAGUUAUUUUCCAGUGCUUCUUUUCUUUGAAAAAAGAGGAAUUCUUGUUUGGACAACUAAGACUUGUUUAAAAAUGGUGGUUCUUUGGCUAGCUUGCACAAAGGUUUUAUCUUUUGGCUUCAUAUUUUUCAUUGGCUUUUGACACAAAUCAAGUCUACAUGGAGGAAUGUAUUUAGAAUAUGUUCACAUCACUUCGUUAGAUGAUACUUAUUGAAUAUAACCAUGAAAUUAAGUUCUAAGAGUGAGAGGUACGUACGUAUAGGGUUGUAUUGCAUGUAUAAAUUCAUAAAUAACGUAAUUAAAAGUCUAUGAAAUUUUCUUCUCAUAUUUUCAAUGACAAAAACAUGAUUAUAAGAGAAUGAAUGGUUUCGAUUAACAUUUUUGUACUGUAAAAUAACGUCCCAUUAGUCAGAAAGGAGGCGAUUCCUCCAUGCGAAUGAAGUAUUAGUAAUACAUAGCCAAAUGUCAAUUGAAAGAUAAUCCCUCUUUUGUUUAAUACUCACAAUAGUUUCUCAAAUCUCAAGCUAAAAGGAUGGAAAAAGAGCCUCAAAAAAGGCCAAAUAACUUUAUCUCGAAAUCAGAGUAGGAUUCUUUCUUCUUCUAUUUCCCUCUCAUUUCCUCAUCUCCUCUCCUCUCACAUUUGUCUUUUAUCUCUAUAAAAAAUUAAUAUAAAAUAUUGAAUUAACUUAAUCGUAACUAUUUAAAUAGGAGGAAAUAAAAAAUGAGAGAUUUGGAGGGAAGAAAAUUCCUCCUCCCUCGAAAUCUAGCAAAACAGGGCCCUCAAGGCCCCCAAGUAUUGUAGCAAAAUUUAUAUGGCUAUGAAAAAAUAAUUGAAAGAAUUGUCUGCAGUAGUAGUACUGCUGCUAUCUGGAGAGAAAUUUUUCUGUGUAGCGGAAGAUCUUACUGCCGAUGAUUUAUUGAGUGUACCCCACUUAAUCUGAGUACACUGGACCAUUAACUUAUAAUAUUUCAACACACAAAUAUCAAGCCCAUGUGAUUACCAGCAGUCGAUGGUGAGUGACGUAUGUAGACCAGAUUUUUACUGACAUAUUUGUACUACAUACCUCCUCCCUCAUUUAAUACGGCUGCAGAACUCGACCCUCUUCUCGUCGCUUUCAUCUCCACACAGUCAGUUUAAUUAAUCACUAAAUCUUGCGUGCUUCUCAUAAAUGAACAAUCAUUAGUUUUAGGUUUUGUUUAACACUAUUAGGGUUAAGAACUUUAUGGCUAUAUAUAGCUAGAGUUGUUUAAAAAGGGUAAGCAAUUAAUGCUUAAUUGCUAUCUUAACUUUUACAAGGGAUGUUUCCCCUAAUAGACGGUCUGAAACGAUUUCUAUUACCAGUUUAGGUUAAACUUAAUUUGGAGAACUAUUUAAAAGCAGCUCCAACAAUCUCGCUAUCUGUCUCGUUAACAAUGAGUCUCAAGAUUUAGCGAUGAGGAGAAAGAUUUACAAGCCAGCUACACAUAAAUUAUUAUACUGUCACUGUUCUUCACUCCCUCCUUCCUCUGUGGAGAUCCUGAGUUGUGGACUGGCGAAUAUGACAAUGGAGCGACAGAUUUGUAGAGAUAGACAAGAGUCUCGACUGGUAGAUGAGACGGCAGAGCAGAUGAGAUCUGGGUUGAGUGGAAAGAGAAGGAACAACAUCCCAACCUUUUCUUUCAUGAAAAAUGUAAAUCUCAACUUACACUCCUAGAAUUUAGAUUCUAGAAUAUUAGUUACAUAUACAACAUUCUAACCCGUCUAACCGACCAGAUAAGGAUAUGAAAUAACAUAAUCGACCAUGCCCAAUCUAGCAAGCAACCAUCCAUAAGCAACCAUCCAUACAUGUAACAUUAUGUAAGAAGCAUCUAUUUGUUAUAAUUUGUAAUAGUACAAAUGUAGUAAAUGAAUAACCACGAUGGAUCGUAAAUCCGCCACGGAACUAAGAAAAUGUGAAACUAAUGAGAAUCACAAUUAGUAUAAGGAAGAAUAAACCACAUAAUCUCGAGUGCAUGCGUCAAUACGUUUUUAUGUUAGAGUUUUGCAUGUACAUUGUUCGAAAGAUGACCCUGAAGCAAAAUUAUUCAUAUCAUGAAACCAUACUACGUACAAUCGGGGUGGACGAAAGUAGGGAUUAAGGUGGUCCCAGGACCACCCAUAGUCCGAAAACUAUACAUGUGAAUGUAUGUUGAUAACCUCUAAAUGUUUGGUAUGAGUCCUUUUUGUACCUACUAAAUGUUUGAUGUUAUGCACGUUGGACAUAUCUCGAUAGGUUGCAUCAACAAAACUCGACAAAUUUUCUCUAUAUCACUCAUUGGAUUGCUUUGGUAUGUGCCUUUAUCUAUUGACAUGUUCGCAACAUGAUUUGGCUGUUGACAACAAGCUUGCCAAGAGUCAACGAAAUGCCUCAGUGAACAAAUUUCUUUUUUGCGCUCUUUUGCACUUUGUUUCUAUUUAAAUUCAGAAUCUCCGAAAUUUAAAUCUUGAAUCCGCCAUUGUAUACAAUUAAACCAUGUCAUGUGUGUUUUUGUAAGUAAUAAACCAAAUUUAUUUAGGGAAAAACAGUUUAGACUAAGGGCUAAUUAUGGACGUGAAAUAAUAGAAGGAAGGGUAUGGGGACGUAGUGUACAGAAGAAUCUCAGUCUUUUCGUGUCUCUGAGUUCUAAGCAGUCUGAGAGAGAGUCAGAUCUGAUAGCUUGCUUUUGAAGCAGCAGAACGUUCCAUCCAUGCAUAUGCACAUCGAUGCACAACCAAAUGAAUAAUAAUAACAAAUAACAACAAAUUAUACAAUUAAAAGGUGCACGAGUGGCCCAUAGACCACGCUGAUCAGGUGCUGCAGAACCCUACCCCCUAUACCCUAGUCCCUACCCCCACUCUCUUCCAAUUAUAGUCCUCGCCUUCCUCACCCCUUCUGACGUAGCAUCAUCGAGGGCUGAAUGAUUGGAUCAUAGUGUCUUCGCCAUAGCCAGCCCUAAGGACGAGAGAUUUUUACCGAUGCUGAGGACCCAAGACACGUAAUGUAUUACUUGGUACAAUAAGAGUCGAUAACUUUGUUAUUAUUUUACGUAUUUUCAGAUAAAUUUAUGUAUUAUAAUUUAAGUAAAAUAAUUUCAUUUGAAUGUGUUAUCACUGCACCUUCCAUGUAGAGACGGGAAGGACAGAUGAGCGAGAGAAACCUUAGACAAAAAAUUGGGGAGGUUGGGGUCCUACUAGUUUAGCUGGCAAUCACAUGGUUGAUGGCUAGAUUCAUGAUGGACGCACAAGAUUGAUGGAUGGACGAAGAUAUUUCAAAGAGAAGACGGACACACGGAAGGGUAAAGAUAAAAGGAUCGACCCUUUUACUUUCCUUAUUGAUUCUUUUGGGCCUGGCUAUAUAGCUAGAACAUAACAUCACAGCAUAGCAUAGGAUUAUCCAACUUGUUCAUGUAAAUCUAAAAGGGGUUGAGCCCUAAAGUAUGAAAGUCCUCCCUCCUUUUUCUCCUUUUGUUGCUCUUUACUUUUGGUAGAAAUCUCAUCACUGAGAUUUGAAUCUAAUAAUUAAAAAGAACACAGUGUCAAACUACAUAUUAUAUAUAUUGGUAGAUUUUUAUUCAAAAUUUUGAGCAUGAAAUUUGAAUUGAGGAUUCAGAUCGGUGGCCAGUGCCCCAGCUAGUUGGUAAGGUUGUGUAGCCCUAUGGUUGUAGGGGAGUCCUAGAUUUUUCAAUGUUCUUGUUUAACUUGCCCUUUGUCACAUCACUUAUCAGAGAUUGUAGGCCUAAUAGUAGGUAGGUUAAGUUCAGUUUCUGGCAGAUAUUUUGAAAAUUAAAAUUUUUAUCAGAAUUAUGUCGGCCUUUUGUAGUUGAUGAUAAACUGACAUCGCCGUGCAGCAUUGGGUUCAGUAAUUCGCUAUUGAGGUAACAUAAAAAAUUCAAAUGUUACAUUCUCUCCUGAAUAAAUAAUGGCAAGUGCCCUUCGUUUUGUAUAAAUCUUUAGCUGGUGAUUAUUGGAAAGAUAUCAAAUUGCUACGAAAUUAUCCGUUCUGAGUUACAAUCCGACCUUAGCUCGGUAGAGCGGAGGAUGUAGUUGUAGAUAACAGACAUCCUUAGUUAUGCCUCUCCCUGAUUAGAUGUGUAAGUUUGUUUUUCGUUAUCAAUAAAAUUUUCUUUAUACCUUCGAAGUUUCUUAAAAAAAAAAAAAAAAUCCAGUUAUGCGUUAAUUGUUACUGGACAAGAACAACGCAGAUGAAUAACAUACGACUUGUACAUGAUAAACAAUAUUUAAAUCGAUCGAUUUUGAUAAUGUUAUACUUUAGAAAUUGUCGAUUAGAAGCAAUUGAGUAAACUUGACUAACCUGAUCAGUUGUGAGGCUUUGAUAAGCAACUGAAAAUGGAGGAGAAACAUAUAUAAACAAAUAACAAGCAACUAGCCAUCUUUAUUAACUACGUUGAGAAAGAAUCAAUGAAUAAUACGGAAUGGAGGAAAAUGAAGAAAUAGAGAGAAACAAUUGAGAGAGAGAAAGAGUAUGAAUUGUAUUUUAGACUUAAAUGGAUCCUCACAAUUACAAAGCUUUUACACACACACACACACACAUAUAUAUAUAUACACAUACAUACAUACAUACAUACAUACAUACAUACAUACAUAUAUAUAUUUAGCUUAAAGCUUCCCUCUUACACUUCUAACAAACUACUAACUUCUUAAUUAACAACCUAACAACUUUAGUAUACAUGGCAGCUUCACUAACUAACCAAUGUUGAGCUAUCAUUUAUUGAUACUCAACAUCCCCCCUCAUUCUCAACUGGAUUUCUCAGUUUGAAAUUGUAUGAGUGCUUGAGAAAUGCAGGACUAUGAAGUCCUUCUUGUCCAUAUACUCCUAGUCCUGCUGCCCUCAUCAACUAAUCCUCCAUGGCUGCCAGCAUUGAAAAUACUCAAGAACGGUACAAUUUCAUACUUGUCGAUCAUCUUUCCAAAGAAGUUCAGCCCCUCAAUGACAACUCAACAUUGGUUCGUUAGUGAGGCUGUCAUGUCAUUCUAAAGCUGUUAGGUUGUUAAGAAAUUAGUUAGUCUGUUAGAAGUGUAAGAAGGAAACUUUAAGCUACAUAUAUGUGUGUAUAAAAGCUCUGUAAUUGUGAGAAUCCGUUUCAUUAAGUCUAAAAUGCAACUCAUACAGUUUACUCUCUCUCUCUCUCUCUCUCUCUCUCUCUCUCAAUUGUUUCUCUCUAGCUAGUUCUUCACUUUCCUCCUUUCCUUAUUGUUUUGUGAUUCUUUCUUAAUGUAGUUAAUAAUCUUCACUUCUUGAUCUAGUAUUGCGAGUCCUUUCAGAUUUGAAACUUUUCUUCUACAUCAGUUUGCUGGUACUAUAUAUAUAUAUAUAUAUAUAUGAUUGAGUGAACUUGUAUCUCAUAUAAAUGCAUGUGUCAUAUAUGUGUUAUAAGCAUGAAAGAAGGUUUCAGUAGUACGUUCAUAUAUUAAACUUUCGCAUGCAUAUAUCAAUCUAAGCACAGCAUGAUUAAUAAUCUUGGAAUACCAUCGAGUCUUUGUCUUUUGUAAACAAAUCAGAAGUAGUUUGCUUUAACUCAACACCAAAUAACAUGGUCUCCAUUGCCACUAAAAUCUUGUUGUGUAUGACCUGAAUUAACCGGAUGUACUUUUGCUUGUUAAUUACUACGUACGUACUUAUAAUUGCAGAAUUGAGAUUAGCCAAGUUGGAGUUUGAUGGAGAUUGGAAGCAGCACUAAAUAUCUGAAUUUCGUGAUAUUUUUAAUUUGUACAUUCUGUUUUAUUUUGUUUCUUGUUUAGGCUAUAUUUAAUAUUUUUGUAGGAUCUUUUAUAAAUUAGGUAUCUUAAAUUUGUGUUUAUUUUAGAUUUGGUUGUAAUUAUAUUUCUUUUCGGCCAAGUAGUCUUGGUGCCCAAGUUUUCUCUCGCUACAAAUAUGGGUUCUUGUAAUCGUUUUAAGAGGGUUGAUGAUUUAAUAAAAUUAAAAGAGAUUCCUCGUAUUUUUCUAUUUUUUAAGUAUUCUUGCGGGUAUCAACGAAUUUAUGGAUGCCCUCAUUUUGGCAUUCUUUUUGUGAGAAUCAACAAGAUUGAGGAACGUUGUGCUCGUUUCGAUCUAAUAUUGUUUUGCUUACGCACUGCAUCAAAUAGAGCAUUGUGCUGCCCCUCAACACUCAAGUUCGAAUCUCUUUCUUUGUGGUUUUGUUUAAAUUUAGUGUUACUUUUAUAAAUAAAAAUGGCUUACCAGAAACUGGUAGGUUAAGUUCAUGUCAUGAUUAUUACAAAUGAUGCAUUGGGAUAUUUCAUCUAGCUAUCUGUUCCAAAAAGAUCAAAACCUAUGAUCUUAAGCAUAGCAUGCUAACUACAUAGCAAAGAAUAAUCAAGUUUCAAUUUCUGAUUCGACGAACUAUUGUACGAAAAAUCCAUGACAACUAUUUAGCUGACUAUAAAUCUACUUCAUCCAAUGAAAGUAUCUCCCAUGGGACAAACUCAGCAGACCAUUGUAGUCGUUACCGUAUGAGAAGAAAUCCAGCCAAUUCAUCAAAAUCAAAUGUAGUGGGGACAAGUUUGAUUAUAGCUAUGGGACCCCAAUGCAUGAUAAAGAAAGGUUUUGAUAAGGAUUGUUGAAUAAUUACACAAGAAAAAAAGGAUAAUGUGACAUGAAAAAGUGGGAGAUUAGCAAGAGGGAGUUUAGUCCAACUAGGGUUUAAUUACAUGGCCGGAAAACAUAUCGAAGAGGGGAAUAGGAUAUUUGCCAACCAGAUUAGGCUUUUUAGCUUUUGGGCUGUUGGUGGCUAAAAGUUGUCUCAUCGGUAUAUGGGAGUGAGUUGUCACCCUAAAAAGCUUAACCGUGAAAAUUAAGAAAGUUGGAGGUUUUGAUUUAGUGUUUAGUAAAGGAGUAUCUUUUUAUUGGCAAAAGUCCCUUUGUUUUGAAUCAUAGAGUCCCAUCAAAUAUGGACAAUUAGUGCCUUCGAGAGUUUGAGAGAAAUUUGUGAGAGAAGCAAUUGAGAAGAAACUUGUUGGAAAUUUUGAGUAGAAUUUCAUUGUCUCACAUUGCUCACCACCACAAGGUUUUCUCACUUUAUAAGGCUUUGUCCUUUAUAGAAAGUGAUUGAAGUGAUGGACAUUGGAGACUAAAAUUGGGCUCAUCCUUGGGGUUGAGCUUUGGGGUGUAAUAAUUAAUUGAUAAUUAAUAU
Molecule: long non-coding RNA, 25992 nt
Filed under: Malus domestica (apple)
Lineage: Eukaryota; Viridiplantae; Streptophyta; Magnoliopsida; Rosales; Rosaceae
Description: long non-coding RNA (MDOM_LNC013629)
Source: RNAcentral